GGGGGUGACAGGUCUCGACUCCGGUUGUCGAGGCAGGUGAAGCGGGCCGAGGAAGGCGACGAUGAUCUCGUUAACCAACAAUGUCGCACAACACACAAGCGCCGAUUCCAAUCAGCGCGCCGCUUCCUACGCCCUCGCGGCCUAGGUAGCAGCUGUCAGCCCGGGAGAGCCUCCGGCCCGGGAUCUGGCAUCGACAGGAGGACCACCACCCGUUUUGGCCACGGGGGCGGGUGGUGAACUUCCGUGGCUGAGCCCGUUCCCGGCUUGCUGGCGUGACCGGGAGGGCUGAGAAAAGCAC
Molecule: transfer-messenger RNA, 298 nt
Filed under: Actinomycetes bacterium
Lineage: Bacteria; Bacillati; Actinomycetota; Actinomycetes
Description: Actinobacteria bacterium (soil metagenome) partial transfer-messenger RNA
Rfam family: transfer-messenger RNA
About the family: Bacterial tmRNA, also known as 10Sa RNA or SsrA, is named for its dual tRNA and mRNA-like properties.
Source: RNAcentral